Long non-coding RNA from Dendroctonus ponderosae (mountain pine beetle), 475 nucleotides. RefSeq lists it as uncharacterized. The transcript is spliced from 2 exons. NCBI's taxonomy places the organism in Eukaryota, Metazoa, Arthropoda, Insecta, Coleoptera, Curculionidae. The record is from RefSeq and is a predicted model, not a curated record.
GACAAAAUUAGCGCACCACCUAUAUAUUUUCGAAUAAAUCAUUUUUUUUCCCAAGUAGGCUGGUAAAUAACGUAACCAUAGUAACAUUGGACAGUACCAAUUGUUUUUGGUCCCUUUCUACUCAUUCCAGUGCAAGUUUCUACUUGUUUUCUGUCAUUUGCAUCAUCUCAUCAUUGUUUUCAAUAGUGAUGAGCGAGACUGGUAUUGGACUUACACUUGGAUGACCAAGAGUUUCGCAAGAGUCUCGCAAGACCAGGCCGCUCAUAUUAAUGUUUUUGGUUUGACGUAUAGCUCACCCUGUCAAAAAACGAUGAAACAAAACGAAGUGUGGUUAGUACGGAAGCUGAACAGUCUUGAAGCAUGGGUCACCCUCUCAAAAAACGAUAAAACGAAAUCCGAUACCGAAACGCUUAAACACUUAACAUACCGACGAUUGACUGUGCGUGAGAAAUAAUUAAAUUAGAAGCCAAAGCUG